AUAGUUUUAAGUAAAAUAAUAGCUUUGGGUGUUAUUGAUAAAAGUUUAACUCUUUUUUUCUUGA
This 64-nucleotide transfer RNA is filed under the name Comaster schlegelii. Its description in RNAcentral is "tRNA-Pro". It matches the Rfam family "tRNA". From Rfam's summary of the family: Transfer RNA (tRNA) molecules are approximately 80 nucleotides in length. Their secondary structure includes four short double-helical elements and three loops (D, anti-codon, and T loops). The record is from RNAcentral. Lineage: Eukaryota; Metazoa; Echinodermata; Crinoidea; Comatulida; Comatulidae.